Brassica napus (rape) is the source of this 2383-nucleotide long non-coding RNA. RefSeq lists it as uncharacterized. The transcript has 2 exons. NCBI's taxonomy places the organism in Eukaryota, Viridiplantae, Streptophyta, Magnoliopsida, Brassicales, Brassicaceae. The record is from RefSeq and is a predicted model, not a curated record.
UUGAGAUAAGAUUUCAAAUUUUGAAAAAUAAAAUAAAAAUAAAAUUUUCAAAAGAUAAAAUGUUAUUUUGGUCAUUUCAGGUUUUGAAGACUAUUUUGGUAACAUAAACUUAGAAAAGUGCUAUUUUGGAGAUUUGCCCUAUAGUAAAUGAGAGUUUUCUCUUUUCUUAAGCCACAUCAGCAAGAGAGCAUGAGACAUUUUGUGCCACCCGACACUCCUUUGCAAACUGAGUUUAUCCUUAUUUUAUUUGUCAAAUCCAUUAAUCAUGUCUAGCCGAUCAAUUUUUAUAUUAACACCACGUUACCUCAACGGCUCAACCUAUCUCUUUUCGUCGAUAGAGAUUCUUUCAUUCCAUUGAAUUCGAUCUAUCUGUUGACCUUUCUUUCGGUGUAAUUGUAGUAUGUUGAUCUAAUUAUACUAUGUUUUUCUCCCAUCUAUACUUCUGCUCACAUAUCUAUUUAUGAAAAAGGCCGCUCAGCUUUCAGAUCAAAAUUGAAAAUACUCAUCGUUAAUUGACCAAUCAACUGCACUGUGAUUAGGGUUUCAGUUAUUCCUUAGCUAGGAGGGAUUUGGGUUUCAAUCGACACGAUGACAUCAAAUCUAAUGACUUCCUUGAAAUCUCAUGACAAGGAGAAGACCGUUGCUCCUCGGAAGAAUCAGUAAUACCUCCCAUGUCCUUUUUCAUCAAUCUGUAUAUUAACUUACGUUGUUUUUCAAAAGGGAGGACAAAUCAGAAGCAAAAUUAUAGAGAGGGAGAAUGAAACAAGGCGGAGUGAUGGAGCAGAGAUCAAACAUGUAGAGAUGGAUUCCGCUUGGAUCUCCAGGAUUAGGCGGCGUUGAGGUUAAGAACGAGAAACCAGGCCCGUCCCUGCAUUAAAGCAGGUGAAGCAAUGGCUUUAAGCCACAUAUUAAAAAAAUAAAAUAUAUGCCACAUUUUCUAAUUUUAGUUGCAGGUCAAAUUGUUUCAUAGGAGAAGUUAGUGAUCUUCUUUCCUCUGGUUCGAUUUACACCACAACUCUCUUUGUUAUAAUUGUUUUGGCAAUUUACUAUAAGGGCCACAUUAUUUUUGACAUGCUUUAAGCAUUAAAAAUGUUUGGGACGGCACUGCGAGAAACAUAUGUCUCUUCAACGAGACAAGAUUGAAUAAGACGUGUUCAGCAGGAGUGGGAACAUGGCAUCUCACUAACCACGAAAGAGGACGAAGACCUUGCAGGACCAUCUCGAUGCAAGUCACCAAGUGUUCGACGAAUUGCCUCGCACACAGUUUUACCAACAACUUUAUCAUCUUAGCCUUUUCGUUCAGGCUAUCUCUCCUAAUUUGCUAAUCAGCUUUUGUUUGAAACAUGUAUAUAAAUCUACAAAAUGAUGCUCAGGAAAUAAGGUUGGAGAUUUCAGUUACAGACGGAGAUGUGCUGAAGCAAACAUGUAGAUAAAUAAAGAAUUCGUUUUAUAAGUUAGUUCAAAGCUUCUCAUAUCACUACUUCUUCUCAGCUUUUAAAAAUCAACAUUUAUUUGUUCUCGAGGUUUCCGUUUUUUUUUUAUCUUUUGACGAAAAAAAACUUACAUUGUAGCUCAUCUUAAAAAGUGGCAGAUGCAAAUGAUUCUCCUACCAAAUUUAAAUACAUCUUCAGCUGCGGUCUCUUUGAUUGUGUGGAAGAAAGCAUUGGUUCGUUUAUGUAUAUACAAACGGUUGCUGGCAAGUAGUGGACACCAUGAGGCUUGCAAGGGGGAGGUGUCAAACUGAGGCGCUCUCCUAGAUGAUUAACUGAAUCUUACCGAUGCUCUGGUGGCAUACCAAACUGCCGCAAAAGCAGCGGCUCAGAUUCAGAGCGUUUCGGGAUAACACGUUGAAGGCGGCACAGUCAAAGGUUAUCCAGUUUGCCAACAUGGAAGAAGAGGCUAAGAGCAUAUGAUGAAGAUCUAGAAUGCUUUCUGCAAAUGUAUGUGUAGUAAUGUUAAAGCUUCUAUUUGGAUUCACUGUCGUUUCAGACAUGGAAAGUUCAAAGAGAGUUCUUCAAAAUGUGGGGUCAGCAAGUUAGGAUCCAGGUAUGUAGUGAUAUAGAUAUACAUGGACUUAGAAGAAGCGUUAAUGCAACCAACAAGGCAAUGAAAUCGCGGUGGUUGACGUGGUGUCGAAGUGGAUUAUAGAGAGGUGGAGAUACAGAGGCGGUGAUGAUCGAUUUAUAAUGGGGUAGAUGAUUGGGUUUAAGAAGAGUAGUUUUCGCUAAAGUUGAAGCCAUUGUCAAGACUUGGGGAAAGCUGUAUGAAUCUCUCCCAAAAAAUAUCAUCAAUUAGUCCCUUCAUAUCAUAUAAUCAUGACGUUUAUUACUAUUCACGGUUACCUAUUGUAGAUAUUUUUAAAAUAAUGGAUAAAGAGCUACGA